GUGAGGAGUGAUGCAGUAGUCUUCGGUAACCAAGGUAACGGUGGCACUGACCUCCUGGCCGGCCAACCAGAGGCUGCUGGACAACGCCGCCGCCAGUGCCCGCUCCUGAUCCCUCUGUCCUAUCUCACUGAGACUGUGGGAGAGGGUGGACAAAAUAACUGAAACACCUUACAGUUUUUACAGCAGCUCAGGUUUGUUUCCCAUUACGUGACAGCACCUUGUUAACAGGUGGAAGUAUCACGGUCACUCUGAGCCUGUCAAACGGGAUGAUGUAACGAAGGAGGACACUGAGGUGUGGUAGUAUCGUCUGUCCUCACCUGUGCAGCAUCCGUCCAUCUGAGCUGCUCUGACGGCUGAACAGCAGGUGUUUAAUGAUACGAGCCUGGAUGACCAUCUGAAUGGCCCGAGCCCCGCCCUGUAAAAACACCUGGCCAGGAUCCGUUUCUGUGCUGUAACAAACACACACAGCAGCUGGAGACUGACCUGAGUGCAGCAGAUCAUCAGGACCAGCAGAGGGCAGUGAGUCUGAGCUGAAUGAAGUCUGUUUGACCAUUAUUCAGUUUAAAUAAGGACGCUGUCCUCCUCACAGGGAAACUGAUCGCGACCAGACUCACGUUCAGAGUACAUUUCUUUCAGAGACAGGUAGAUUUUUGUUAUACAGAUUCAUAGGUGGACAGAUGUAUAAACAGGAAGAUACUUACAGUUACGUGUUUUGACGGCAGCCUGAGGAAAGAAGACGCGAGUUAGAUGUCAGUCAACAAAGCAGAGGCAGAUUUUUAUAAACCUCAGCUAAAUGUUUGAUUUGCUUCCAUUUUAUUUUCAUUGUGUUUUAGAUGAAAACUUUCCUCCAGUUCUGCAGGUCAGACACCUGGACCAGGAUCUGCUGUAGCUCCACCUCCGUCUGAACACACACACACAUAAAAGUUUGUUUUUAUUAUAUUUGUGAAGACCCUCAACCUGAUUCUAACCUGAACCUUAAAACCAGGUCUGAACCAUCAACAGCUCUUUGAAAUGCUGAGGACUGGACAAGAAGUCCUCACUGUGAUGGU
This is a long non-coding RNA of Toxotes jaculatrix (banded archerfish), 1049 nucleotides long. RefSeq lists it as uncharacterized. The transcript is spliced from 3 exons. The record is from RefSeq and is a predicted model, not a curated record. Lineage: Eukaryota; Metazoa; Chordata; Actinopteri; Toxotidae.